Brassica napus (rape) is the source of this 1262-nucleotide long non-coding RNA. RefSeq lists it as uncharacterized. The transcript has 9 exons. NCBI's taxonomy places the organism in Eukaryota, Viridiplantae, Streptophyta, Magnoliopsida, Brassicales, Brassicaceae. The record is from RefSeq and is a predicted model, not a curated record.
UACUUGAUGAAACACGGCGUUUUCCAUUAGGUUCUUCUUCGUCUCUUUUCUGUCUCCAGCGCUAAUGGCGAUUGAAGUUUCUAAUACGCUCUUUCAUCUUCUUCUUCACUGUCUGAAACAAUACAUAUAACGGAGUUAUCCUCUUUAAUCUCACAGGUCUCCAGCGAAUCGAUCCUUUCAUGAGGAGAUCCUAAUCACAGCAGCUCAUGCUACCUUCUAUGAAUUCAACAUUGAGAUCAGUCAAUGGAGUCGUAAGGAUGUUGAAGGGUCUUUGUUUGUUGUCAAAAGUAAACAAGAACCUCGGUUUCAGUUUAUUGUAAUGAAUCAUGGGAACACAGUGUUUUAGUUUGUUUAAAGCUAAGGGAAGAUAAUCUGGUGGAAGAUCUCCUGGGAGAUUUUGAGCCUGAGAAGGUACUCUGAAAUUUGAUGUUUCUUAGCUAACUAGCAACCUAAUAAGAAACGCAAAAUGGGAAGACCAAUUACUCUUACAGUGCCUCCUGCAGCAUCAUCUUCGCAGACCGGUUCUCUCACACGGUAACUUAUCCGAAUCAGACACUCUGACUACUAUAAAUCAAGAACGCCGCAUAGCUAAAGAUUCUGCUCGAAGUGCCAGACAGCUACGAAUGGAGAUUUGUGUAAAGAGAAAAAAAGGGCCCAGAUAGCUGGAUCUUCAUCGGCAUCUGCAUCUACUUCCGGAAGCUCAAAAAGACCACGUGAAAAUGAUCUCAAGACAUAUGACAAAUGGGAGUUGGUCUCAUGUCCAUCCUGUAAAGCGUUGUUCUGGAAUGCUGAAGCACCUCGAGUUCAGACAAACCAAGAGAGCAAGCAGUUUAGUCUUUGUUGUCAGAGAGGUCGUGUGAGACUUCCACCAGUUCGGGAGCCACCGUCUCCAUUUCUAGAGCUUUUAGAGUCGCCGAGCUUCAAGCCCCACAUCAGAAUUGCUAACAGUUUGCUUGAUUUCCCCUCUAUGGGUGCCAAAAUUGAUAAGAGCGUCACUGGGUAUGGACAUGAGAAGAUCUCCAUGACUCCAUCAUCAAACGUAGGUAUCAUCAUGAAUAAUAUCAUUAUUUGCUGACUAUAGACAGAUUCAUGUUCUUUAAUGUUCCAAAUGAUGUUGAUGCUAGAACCGCUUGGUCACAGUGCAAUUUGAAGGAUCCUAGGUCAAUCUUAACUUCGAUACCUAUGUCUUUAUUUCAUUGUCUUCAAAAGAUGAUAUACUGACUCUUCUUAUGUCAUGUAUCUAAUUAUCUCCUUGAUUAUCA